Molecule: long non-coding RNA, 1428 nt
Organism: Astatotilapia calliptera (eastern happy)
Lineage: Eukaryota; Metazoa; Chordata; Actinopteri; Cichliformes; Cichlidae
Source: Ensembl
CGUUUUGAGGGUAAAAUCAUACCUGUAGAGCAAACGCUGCGGACACAGCAGCAGUUUUAAAAAAGAUUUUAAGAUUAAUUUUUUUGCUCCUCUCACUCUAGCAGUUGAGCUGCCUCACUCUAGCCCCAACAUUCCGUCCCAUACACACCCAUUAUAAACUCUGAAACGGGUGAAAAAACAUCAUGAAACUUAAACUGGAACUGAAGAAAAAGUAUAAUAGAUAUUGAAAAGAUAAAUACAAGUUGAAUAGUUGAAUGUCUUGUCUUCGUUUUAAAGUUUGAAUGGUGGCUCUAUGUCAACGUAUGUUGAAGUAGUAAGAGUUUAAAAAUGAGUAAGUUGAAUGAGAAUUUGAAGGGUCUCCCCAUUGAAAUACAUGGGAAAUUUUUGUUGAAUAAAGUUGAAUAAAAUUAAAAAUAUAAAUGUUAAAAAUGAGAAAAAUAGAAGCAAUGUUGUCCAAAAUAAUAGGAAUCUAACGAUGUUUGAAUGGUUUUUCUAAGUUGAACGGUUUUGAAGGAGUAGGCUUUCAAAAAACGUACGGAAUACAGAAUAAAAUAUAAUAAUAAAGAUUAGAAGAACAAUACUGUGAAUGCUUUUCAAGCAUUCACACUAAUAAUAACUAGAAAGUGCAUUUUCUGAAGAAACUGCAGUGUGAAUGCUUGAAUCUGAAUGUAUGCACUGAAAUGAAUUAAUUGCUGAAUUUUGAGUUAAAAAUAUUGAAUGAGAUAAAAAAAAAACAAAAAAAAAAAACGAAUUUAACCUGAAAACAAAGGUGCUGAACUGCUAAAAGCUGAAGGUUACACAGAAGAAGGAGUUGGAAAAAAACUGAAAAUGUUUUAAAUGUAAAUUAGAAAACCCUAAGAAAUGAGAAAAGAACAUUUAGAGUCAGAAAACAUCUGAAUGAAUAUUAAAAGGUCAUAUUCUUUGAAUCACUGAAUGACUCAAAUGUGAUCCCUCCACUUUGAUCCACACAGUUUAAAAAGUUUAAAUGCCUGAGCUUUGAAAGAUACGGUGUUGGAAAGAGAACAAUAAUGGCGACAAUUUGAGGGUAAAAUGAUGGCUGUAACACUGUGGACACAGCAGCAGUUGAAAGAGAAGUGCUUAAGAUGAAUCUUGGUACAGUGGCAGGCAGAGCUCGUUAAGCAGGCAGGUGUGAGCCUGGUUGCUAUAGUGACCGCACCCAAUGGCUCCAUACACACGCACACAGACAUGCACCUCACUUUUGCUGCUUAAAAUGAACAGAAAAGUCAGGCCGAAACAAAUCGCUCCCAAAUGAAAAGUAAAAGUCGUAUUGACAAAAUUCUUUCACCGUGAGCGACAGCAAUGUCUAGUCUACCUAAUUCUCAGUUUUCAUGUCUGUGGAGUUUAUUAUAUGGACGUGGUGACAGUGGAAAGACACCAUGCUCUUCUGAUUUUCAAACGAACCUUCUG